This 2010-nucleotide ribosomal RNA is filed under the name Hypnea musciformis. RNAcentral's name for it is "partial 28S ribosomal RNA". It matches the Rfam family "Eukaryotic large subunit ribosomal RNA", at positions 51 to 2190 of the family's 3401-position model. Lineage: Eukaryota; Rhodophyta; Florideophyceae; Gigartinales; Hypneaceae. The record is from RNAcentral.
CGGAGGAAAAGAAACUAACCAGGAUUCCCUCAGUAGCGGCGAGCGAAGCGGGAAAAGCCCAAUAUGAAAAGCCUGCUUGCAGGCGUUGUAGUUGAGCGCUCUUGGGGUGUCAGUGUUGGUAAGUUGCAUGGAAAUGCACACCGUGGAGGGUGAGAGUCCCGUCCAGCCUACACAGGACACUCCGUUCUAGAGCGUUUCAGUCGAGUCGGGUAGCUUGGGAAUGCUGCUCUAAUCGGUGGUAAAUCUCAUCGAAGGCUAAAUACUGGCUGAAUACCGAUAGCGAACAAGUACCGUGAGGGAAAGUUGAAAAGCACUUUGAAAAGAGGGUGAAAAGAACCUGAAACCGUCAUGGGGGAAGCGGAUUGCGUUGAGUUGAGUGAGUCUUUGUGUGUUCAGCCCUUUUGGGUGCAUUGACAUGAGAUUCGAAUCGUUGUGGGUUUCCGAGGAUGGAAAUUGCAUUCUCGGGGGCUGAGGGCUCCCUUCUUGUAAGGUCUGAGGACAACGAUGUAGCGACGCGAUACGACCCGUCUUGAAACACGGACCAAGGAGUCUAGCGUGAUUGCGAGUCUAAGGGUGUUGAAACCUGACGGCGCAGUGAAAGCGAAUAAUUUAAAAAUGAGCAAUUUGAGGCGGCAUAGAAUCGUUGAUUCUAAGUCCGACCUAGAGCCAUUACGCUGGGACCCGAAAGAUGGUGAACUAUGCCGGAGUAGGGCGAAGCCAGAGGAAACUCUGGUGGAGGCUCGUAGCGGUGCUGACGUGCAAAUCGCUCGUCUAACUUGGGUAUAGGGGCGAAAGACUAAUCGAACCAUCUAGUAGCUGGUUCCCUCCGAAGUUUCUCUCAGGAUAGCGGGCCGACAAUUUGAGUUGUUCUGUGUGGUAAAGCGAAUGAUUAGCGUAUUUGGGGACAUCUAGUCUUCGGGCGAUUCUCAAACUUUAAAUACUCAGGGGUGUCGCUGCUUGGUUGAGCGGCACCGGUAAAAACGUCGGCCCUGUGGGCCACUUUUGGUAAGCAGAACUGGCGAUACGGGAUGAACCGUAAGCAUGGUUAAGGUGCCAAACUGCCCGCUUAUAGAUCCCACAAAAGGUGUUGAUUCAUCGAGACAGCAGGACGGUGGCCAUGGAAGUCGGAAUCCGCUAAGGAGUGUGUAACAACUCACCUGCCGAAUGAAUUAGCCCUGAAAAUGGAUGGCGCUGAAGCGGGCGACCGACACCAUGCCGUUUGGGCAAGAAAUAGCUCAGAUGAGUAGGAGGGCGUGGGGAUUGUGUCGAAGCAUGCGUGCAAACGUGUGUGGAACGGUCUCUAGUGCAGAUCUUGGUGGUAGUAGCAAGUAUUCAAGUGAGAUCCUUGAAGGGCGAAGCGGGGAAGGGUUCCACGCGAACAUUGAUUGGGCGUGGGUGAGUCGUUCCUAAGCCGAGUGGCAAUUGCUAAGUAGCGGCGAAAGGGAAGCGGGUUGACAUUCCCGCACACGGAUGUGGAGGCGGUGACGCACUACUGGGACGGAGACGCUGGCGACGGCGCUGGGCAGAGUUGUCUUUUCUGUUUGACCGUGCGAAAAAGCUGUGUGGAAUCCGCUUGUCGGGAGAAACACGCUUAUUCGGGCAGAGCGCCGGGACUUUUCCGGCGUCCAGCUCGCCGUCGACGGCCCUUGAAAAUCUGUCUGCUGAUUUAAUCCACGCCGUGGCGUACCGAUCACCGCAUCAGGUCCCCAAGGUGAACAGCCUCUGCUCGAUAUGAAAAAUGCAGGUAAGGGAAGUCGGCAAAUUAGACCCGUAACUUUGGGAAAAGGGUUGGCUCUAGUGCUGCGUGGGAGUGGUUGUCGGUUGGCGACGUAACAAGCGUGGCGGCAUGGCGCGAUGACCGCAAGGUUGUUGUUCCGGCUGCUGGGCGUGUUGCGGCACGGCCGACGACGCCCACAGCAUGCAGCAAACUAGAACUGCAACGGGCAAAGGGAAUCCGACUGUUUAAUUAAAACAAAGCAUUGCGAGGGCCGUGGCCGGUGAUGACGCAAU